RNAcentral lists this ribosomal RNA (433 nucleotides) under uncultured bacterium. RNAcentral describes it as "partial 16S ribosomal RNA". It matches the Rfam family "Bacterial small subunit ribosomal RNA", at positions 29 to 507 of the family's 1533-position model. The record is from RNAcentral.
AACGAACGCUGGCGGCAUGCCUAACACAUGCAAGUCGAACGAGACCUUCGGGUCUAGUGGCGCACGGGUGCGUAACGCGUGGGAACCUGCCCUUAGGUUCGGAAUAACUCCCCGAAAGGGGUGCUAAUACCGGAUAAUGUCUUCGGACCAAAGAUUUAUCGCCUUUGGAUGGGCCCGCGUUGGAUUAGCUAGUUGGUAGGGUAAAAGCCUACCAAGGCGACGAUCCAUAGCUGGUCUGAGAGGAUGAUCAGCCACACUGGGACUGAGACACGGCCCAGACUACUACGGGAGGCAGCAGUGGGGAAUAUUGGACAAUGGGCGAAAGCCUGAUCCAGCAAUGCCGCGUGAGUGAUGAAGGCCUUAGGGUUGCAAAGCUCUUUUACCCGGGAUGAUAAUGACAGUACCGGGAGAAUAAGCUCCGGCUAACUCCGUG